AGUCACAAGACGAGUGAGAUUGCUGGAGUGAUGUCUGGAGCAGACUGAAGAGGUCAGAUCUAGGUCAGAUCUUGUCACAGCAGAUGCCAGGAAAGAGAUUUCAGUGGACACUGCCUAAAGGGUACACAAUGAUGACACCAAGAAGUGGCCUCCCUUCGGAAAUUCCUGCUUCCAUGGAAGAAAUUCAGAAGGCAAUCGCAGAUCAGUUUAUUUCCUGUACGAAGAGAGACUUCGUGGACGUAGCCAAAGAACAAAAGAAUAAGAAAAGUCCUCAGGUGUCCCUGGAGUGGAAAAAGUUCCUUCCCCGGCCUCUAGACACUGAAUUUCGACGGAAUUACCAAAUUCCAGUUAAAAUUCCUGAGUUGCAGGACUUUACUUUCCGAUAUGGAUGCUACUCAAGCCUGCGAAUUCCUUCUCGGGGUCUGGUUCCCUCUGUGCUGCACAGUUACAUGAGGAAUCAAGAACGGACGAAGCAGCAGACCAUGUACCAAAGUGAAUACGGGAAAGCCUACCUGGACUUCCUAACGAUCCUGAACUCCUUUACUCCUGCUCAAAUCGAUGAGUACCUUCAGAGUGUUUCCGACAAAGGUAAGAUGAAGUCUUAAGGUGGCAUCUCACACAUUUAC
Molecule: long non-coding RNA, 626 nt
Filed under: Cavia porcellus (domestic guinea pig)
Lineage: Eukaryota; Metazoa; Chordata; Mammalia; Rodentia; Caviidae
Description: lncRNA (ENSCPOG00000007161.4)
Source: RNAcentral